GUGUAUCCCCAGAGGCCAGGUCUCGGGAAGCAUGGCGAAGUAGGAGAGGAUGAAAAUAAUGCAGGGAAGUGGGUGUGAGAGUGGAGCGGUGACGGUUGCUGUUAACUCGGUCUCUGUUCAUCAAGUGGGGCCAAUGCAGAUGGAAUGGAAGAGGGAGGUAGGAUUGAGGGCAAGAUUUCAAGCACCAUUAGAGCUCUGUGUAGUGAUUGCUCAUGCUUGGUUUUUGCAGCUGUUCUUGCAGAGGAAUUGUUCAGGAGCCCUGUCUGGAGAAGGAAGAGGCAGAAGUGGACCUGAGCAGCUUGGACAUCCUUUUAAGCAGACACGAACAGUCCUCAGCUUUGUCUCUUGCAUAACUGGCGUACCAAGUGAAAAGAAGUCAGUUUACUGCCCUCAUGUGAUGGAAAGCAAGCGAGAGCGACGAGACCUCGAGCAUUGUUAAUGCCAGGCAAGAGCCGUCCAUCUGGGAGCGGAACAGCUGCCACUGUCACUGAGAUAAGUCUGUUUUGCUGAGGGUUCUGCUCACGGCCCACCUGGCUCCAGUACCAAGGAAAAAGAAGUCACAUGUCAGAGUCUACUGCCCUCAUGCAAUGGAAAGUGAUCAAGAGCGAUUGGACCUGGAGAAUUAUUGACGGCAUGAAAAAGCCGUCCAUCUGGGAGUGGAAUAGCUGCUAUUGUCACUGAGAUAAGUGUCUGUUUUGCUGAAGGUUCUGCUCACGGCCCAUCUGGCUCCAGGUAGUGAUGCCGCAUCAGCUGGGGCUGGCUU
This is a long non-coding RNA of Mauremys mutica (yellowpond turtle), 763 nucleotides long. RefSeq lists it as uncharacterized. The transcript is spliced from 3 exons. The record is from RefSeq and is a predicted model, not a curated record. Lineage: Eukaryota; Metazoa; Chordata; Testudines; Geoemydidae.